RNAcentral lists this ribosomal RNA (253 nucleotides) under uncultured bacterium. RNAcentral describes it as "partial 16S ribosomal RNA". It matches the Rfam family "Bacterial small subunit ribosomal RNA", at positions 524 to 776 of the family's 1533-position model. The record is from RNAcentral.
UACGUAGGGUGCGAGCGUUAAUCGGAAUUACUGGGCGUAAAGCGUGCGCAGGCGGUUUUGUAAGCCAGAUGUGAAAUCCCCGGGCUUAACCUGGGAAUGGCAUUUGGGACUGCAAGGCUCGAGUGCGGCAGAGGAGACUGGAAUUCCUGGUGUAGCAGUGAAAUGCGUAGAUAUCAGGAGGAACACCGAUGGCGAAGGCAGGUCUCUGGGCUGACACUGACGCUCAUGCACGAAAGCGUGGGGAGCAAACGGG